RNAcentral lists this ribosomal RNA (250 nucleotides) under uncultured Acidovorax sp. Its description in RNAcentral is "partial 16S ribosomal RNA". It matches the Rfam family "Bacterial small subunit ribosomal RNA", at positions 86 to 339 of the family's 1533-position model. The record is from RNAcentral. Lineage: Bacteria; Pseudomonadati; Pseudomonadota; Betaproteobacteria; Burkholderiales; Comamonadaceae.
UGCUGACGAGUGGCGAACGGGUGAGUAAUACAUCGGAACGUGCCCGAUCGUGGGGGAUAACGAAGCGAAAGCUUUGCUAAUACCGCAUACGAUCUACGGAUGAAAGCAGGGGACCGCAAGGCCUUGCGCGAACGGAGUGGCCGAUGGCAGAUUAGGUAGUUGGUGGGAUAAAAGCUUACCAAGCCGACGAUCUGUAGCUGGUCUGAGAGGACGACCAGCCACACUGGGACUGAGACACGGCCCAGACUCC